Molecule: ribosomal RNA, 492 nt
Filed under: uncultured bacterium
Lineage: Bacteria
Description: partial 16S ribosomal RNA
Rfam family: Bacterial small subunit ribosomal RNA
Source: RNAcentral
AGUGAACGCUGGCGGUAGGUCUAACACAUGCAAGUCGAACGGCAGCACAGUAAGAGCUUGCUCUUACGGGUGGCGAGUGGCGGACGGGUGAGGAAUACAUCGGAAUCUACUUUUUCGUGGGGGAUAACGUAGGGAAACUUACGCUAAUACCGCAUACGACCUACGGGUGAAAGCAGGGGAUCUUCGGACCUUGCGCGAUUGAAUGAGCCGAUGUCGGAUUAGCUAGUUGGCGGGGUAAAGGCCCACCAAGGCGACGAUCCGUAGCUGGUCUGAGAGGAUGAUCAGCCACACUGGAACUGAGACACGGUCCAGACUCCUACGGGAGGCAGCAGUGGGGAAUAUUGGACAAUGGGCGCAAGCCUGAUCCAGCCAUACCGCGUGAGUGAAGAAGGCCUUCGGGUUGUAAAGCCCUUUUGUUGGGAAAGAAAAGCAGCAGGUUAAUACCCCGCUGUUCUGACGGUACCCAAAGAAUAAGCACCGGCUAACUUCGUG